Acanthosepion pharaonis is the source of this 101-nucleotide non-coding RNA. The record is from the annotation of a GenBank genome assembly. Lineage: Eukaryota; Metazoa; Mollusca; Cephalopoda; Sepiida; Sepiidae.
ACGGCCAUAUCUCGUUGAAACAUCGGUUCCGGUACGAUCAUCGACAUGAAGCCACAUCGAGCCUGGUCAGUACUUAGAUGAGUGACCGCUUAGGAAUACCA